UUAGUUAUGUUCUUUAAACCUAAAGAAUUUGGCGGUGUUUUAGUCUAUUCAGAGGAAUUUGUCCCGUAAUCGAUAACCCUCGUUUUAUCUUACUUGAUUUUGUUUUCAGUAUGUAUAUCGCCGUUAUAAGUUUAUUUUUUAAGGAUUUUAAUUUACUUGAAGUUUUAUUAUAUAAUAUUUCAGGUCAAGGUGCAGUUAAUGAUUAAGUGGAGAUGAAUUACAAUAUUAUUUAGAUAAAUGGAUUUUAUUUUUAAUUUUUUUAAUGAAAGUGGAUUUGAUAGUAAUUUUAAUUAUAAAGUUAAUUUGAUUUUAGCUCUAAAAUAAGUACACAUCGCCCGUCGCUCUA
RNAcentral lists this ribosomal RNA (346 nucleotides) under Dares breitensteini. Its description in RNAcentral is "partial 12S ribosomal RNA". Lineage: Eukaryota; Metazoa; Arthropoda; Insecta; Phasmatodea; Heteropterygidae. The record is from RNAcentral.